UUCCCUAUCAGGCCUAGGGCUGGGCAAUAUAUCGGUAUUACGACUACGACCGAUAUAUUUUUGAAAACGAUAUGUAGUUGAGACAAUAUCGUAAUACCGGUAUUAUGUCAAAUAAUGGGCCAUUUUAUCAAAGCCACUUGCUCUUCUGUGUUCAGACCAUUCAG
Molecule: long non-coding RNA, 164 nt
Organism: Alosa sapidissima (American shad)
Lineage: Eukaryota; Metazoa; Chordata; Actinopteri; Clupeiformes; Clupeidae
Exons: 3
Source: RefSeq, a predicted model, not a curated record